UGGGGAAUAUUGGACAAUGGGCGAAAGCCUGAUCCAGCCAUGCCGCGUGUGUGAAGAAGGUCUUCGGAUUGUAAAGCACUUUAAGUUGGGAGGAAGGGCAUUAACCUAAUACGUUAGUGUUUUGACGUUACCGACAGAAUAAGCACCGGCUAACUCUGUGCCAGCAGCCGCGGUAAUACAGAGGGUGCAAGCGUUAAUCGGAAUUACUGGGCGUAAAGCGCGCGUAGGUGGUUUGUUAAGUUGGAUGUGAAAGCCCCGGGCUCAACCUGGGAACUGCAUCCAAAACUGGCAAGCUAGAGUACGGUAGAGGGUGGUGGAAUUUCCUGUGUAGCGGUGAAAUGCGUAGAUAUAGGAAGGAACACCAGUGGCGAAGGCGACCACCUGGACUGAUACUGACGCUCAGGUGCGAAAGCGUGGGGAGCAAACA
This 427-nucleotide ribosomal RNA is filed under the name uncultured bacterium. RNAcentral's name for it is "partial 16S ribosomal RNA". It matches the Rfam family "Bacterial small subunit ribosomal RNA", at positions 355 to 774 of the family's 1533-position model. The record is from RNAcentral.